This 294-nucleotide ribosomal RNA is filed under the name uncultured bacterium. Its description in RNAcentral is "partial 16S ribosomal RNA". It matches the Rfam family "Bacterial small subunit ribosomal RNA", at positions 337 to 629 of the family's 1533-position model. The record is from RNAcentral.
UCCUACGGACGCAGCAGUGAGGAAUAUUGGUCAAUGGGCGCGAGCCUGAACCAGCCAAGUCGCGUGAGGGAAGACGGUCCUAUGGAUUGUAAACCUCUUUUGUCGGGGAGCAAAAGACGCCACGCGUGGCGUUCCGAGAGUACCCAAAGAAAAAGCAUCGGCUAACUCCGUGCCAGCAGCCGCGGUAAUACGGAGGAUGCGAGCGUUAUCCGGAUUUACUGGGCGUAAAGGGAGCGUAGGCGGCCUGCCAAGUCUGAUGUGAAAUACCGGGGCUCAACCCCGGGGCUGCAUUGG